CCUACGGGCGGCUGCAGUGGGGAAUAUUGGACAAUGGGGGGAACCCUGAUCCAGCCAUGCCGCGUGUGUGAAGAAGGCCUUUUGGUUGUAAAGCACUUUAAGCGAGGAGGAGGCUACCGAGAUUAAUACUCUUGGAUAGUGGACGUUACUCGCAGAAUAAGCACCGGCUAACUCUGUGCCAGCAGCCGCGGUAAUACAGAGGGUGCAAGCGUUAAUCGGAUUUACUGGGCGUAAAGCGCGCGUAGGUGGCCAAUUAAGUCAAAUGUGAAAUCCCCGAGCUUAACUUGGGAAUUGCAUUCGAUACUGGUUGGCUAGAGUAUGGGAGAGGAUGGUAGAAUUCCAGGUGUAGCGGUGAAAUGCGUAGAGAUCUGGAGGAAUACCGAUGGCGAAGGCAGCCAUCUGGCCUAAUACUGACACUGAGGUGCGAAAGCAUGGGGAGC
This 440-nucleotide ribosomal RNA is filed under the name uncultured bacterium. RNAcentral describes it as "bacterial SSU rRNA". It matches the Rfam family "Bacterial small subunit ribosomal RNA", at positions 338 to 769 of the family's 1533-position model. The record is from RNAcentral.